Molecule: ribosomal RNA, 253 nt
Filed under: uncultured bacterium
Lineage: Bacteria
Description: partial 16S ribosomal RNA
Rfam family: Bacterial small subunit ribosomal RNA
Source: RNAcentral
UACGUAGGGGGCUAGCGUUGUCCGGAAUCAUUGGGCGUAAAGAGCGUGUAGGCGGCCCGGUAAGUCCGCUGUGAAAGUCGGGGGCUCAACCCUCGAAUGCCGGUGGAUACUGUCGGGCUAGAGUGCGGAAGAGGCGAGUGGAAUUCCUGGUGUAGCGGUGAAAUGCGCAGAUAUCAGGAGGAACACCUAUUGCGAGGGCAGCUCGCUGGGACGUAACUGACGCUGAGACGCGAAAGCGUGGGGAGCAAACAGG